RNAcentral lists this transfer RNA (63 nucleotides) under Lepidodermella squamata. RNAcentral's name for it is "tRNA-Pro". It matches the Rfam family "tRNA". Rfam says of the family: Transfer RNA (tRNA) molecules are approximately 80 nucleotides in length. The record is from RNAcentral. Lineage: Eukaryota; Metazoa; Gastrotricha; Chaetonotida; Chaetonotidae.
CUGGACUUAGUUUAAAUUAAAAUAUUGGCUUUGGAUGCCAAAGAAAACUCUUGUUAGUCCAGA